UCCCGUGCGCUCGCCUCCCCUCCUCUCCUCCUCAAUCCCGUGCGCUCCCCAAGCCGCCGCCACGAUAGACCACGAGCCGCCACCGUCGACGUGCCUUGCCCCCUCGCGCCUCCUCCUCUGCGACUCCGAGCCGCCGCCAUCGCGCAUCUCCGCCUCAACCCACCCAACGCUGCGCUGGGACGGAGGUGGAGGAGCACGGAUUCGGAAGAGGUGUGCGCUCGUCCGCGCCCUCGAUUUCUUCCAGCGGCGGCUGCCCGCGUGCCCUCGAUUUCGUCCAACGGCGGCUGGCCGUGCGCUGGCGGCGAAAGGCGGCAACCGAGCGGUGGUGGCGGCUGGCGGCGCUCGCCCUCGAUUUCGUCCGAGCAUCCAGCGGCAGCGGAAGGGAGCAGAAGAGGCGCGCCGGCGGCGGAAGGCAGCAAUCGAGCGGUGGUGGCGGCGGCUGGACCGUGCGCGCCCUCGAUUUCUUCCUCGGCACUCCUGGAGUGGAGAUGCUCUCAGUCGCUUCCAUAGUAGGUCGCCUUGCCUCGCCUCGCCUAGCUGCACACCCUCGGUCGACUCCCGGCGUCGCGCGCUUGUCCGCCAUGCCCUAAGCCCGCUCCAGCCUCCAGCCUUGAUGUUGAUGAAAUUGAAAAGAUAAUUUAUAUUGAUGUGAGAGUUCUCAGAGGAGGAGGAAAAAACAGUUUCCCUAUUGCUGCUCUGUUGAUGUUUUUCAGAAGGUUGGUCUUGUUCUUGGACCUGAUUUUGUAAGCUGCUUGGUGCUUCCAGAUAUAUACGUAGCACAUAAUAACCACGUCGAGCAGGAUGGGUGGCGCAUCAGUGGAGUCAUCGCGCCAGCAUGUCGACUCUCGCCAGCCUCCACAAGCGGCGAAGACGGUUCAGCUUGGCCAUGGCGAUGGCAGUUUUCCGGAUCUGUGUUGUAGUUGUUGCUGCUGCUGGGCGAGCUGUUACAUAGUCACACCGAGGCUGACGCGCAACAAUGCUUGCAUUUACGGGGCAUCAUCUCAUGCGGACGUCGGCACUCGACAUCCGUCCGAUAUGAGCGAUUACCUGACGGAUUCAUCCCUGGAGUGAUACAUCAAAAGAUUACUCGGAUGGUGCCCAGAUAACACGAAGGAGGUUCUAGGAUUUAGUAGGCUCGCUUCUUGUCUCAUCCUGUACUAGGCUCUGGUUAUGUGCUCUUCUUCUGUGUUGAGUUAACGCAUAUGAGUAUGUGAUCUGCUAAAUAACACCGAGACAGUCCUAGGCAUGAGUGAAAUCAAGGACUUGUUUGAGGAUAUACCAGUGGCUGUAAGCUAAUGCGUUCUUGUGCCUAUUUUGGAUUUGUUUGGCCGUUUUCAGUUGUAAUCUCGAUGUGUUCCUUGAGCACUGGAAAUGAGUUAAUUCUAAAGUAAAGUUUGCAGGUACAUUGAUUCACCCUGUUGCUACCUUCAUUGGUGGAGUGACCAUCUAGGAAGUAAUCAAGGUCUUCAUUGUGUUCCAGAAAGAAAGAUGAGGCUGCCUUUUACUUAUUGUGUCGGAAGGAUGCAGCGCCACUGAAGACUUUUCUCUUUUUACCAGAGGCCAGUGAGAGCAUCAAGAGGAGCAUCGCCGAUGGCCAGCACCAAUCGAAGCCCCACGGAGAGAGGUGACAUGGGACCUCCUUCCCUGAUCUGCUUCAGCUUGCAGGGAAACCGUAGAGGAGACCUCUACGGUAAUUUUUCUAUUAAAAAAGAGGCACAAUUUACAAGAGAGGGGGCAUGGGGAAUUUACAUGAUGGGAGGUGGCAAGGGCGGGGAGAGAUACACUGUUUGUUGAUGCCUAGACCUGAUGCAUAUGGUUUUCCUUUUGGACUUGGGUAUAUGGUUAGUUAAAAAAUACCACCGUAUCUUCUAAGGAGAAAUAAUUUUGGUUUACCAUUGCAGAGUUCAUUGCUCCUUUUAUUGCUGACCAUGGUAUUUGCUUACAAGUUUCUCAACAUUAUAGGGUGAUCAUCUGCUUUGAAGUUCUCAUAUCAUGUCAUUCAACAUAUUUAGAUCACCAAAUGAUGCAUAAAUCAAGCUAUGUACAUUUGAAACUGCUUCAUUUAGAGAGCUAAUUCAUGGUAAAAAAACAAAUCAGCAAUGAAAAAAUAUAUUACAUUCUUUCUAUGAACAGAGUACGAUGAUUAUCAUCACUAUGUUGUAGGCAAAAGCCAGAGCAUUUUGUUUCUAUUUUCACGCGUUUUGAUUUCCUAUUUUCGGACGGACGGAGUAAGUUUCCAUUUUACACAAAAGCACCAUUUCAGGACUUUGGAAGCUUUGGAUUUCUAAUGCCAUGUUCUUUGUUCUUUCGGGGUUUCAGAUUCCAUAUGCCUAAUAUGCCUAAAUAACAAGGCUACUUCUUUCUUCAUUUAACUAUCUGUAUGAUGUUCUCUCAUAUUCUAUGUUUCCUAAGAAAUACCAAUGUAGAUUUUAUUCCUUGUGCAAAAGUGUUAUCUCAUUUUUUGCGUUCUAAUAUCAACUGCUGAGGGAAGUAGUACAAUAUACAUUUCCUCUAGAUGCAAUGAAACUUACAAAUGUGUUCUUAUUUUUUUAUGAAUACCGGUCUAAAAAGUGUCAUCUCUAGAUGCCAAAGGGCCUUGAAGGAUACAUCGUCGGUUAAGUUCCAUGGUGGGGCCAGCUUGACCCAAUGUCCUCGACCCGUGCUCUUCACGUGGUGGAUGGCAAGGGAGACUUCUCUAUUGCUUCAAUUCUCCAUCAUGUCGCCGGCCGUUGCUUCGCCUACUACUCCCACAUCAAGGCCACAGCGACAUCUGCUUGCAGUGAAGAAAAAAUGCAGUCUGGGGGAUGGUCUGCUUGCCGCUGUUGUUGAUGCCAGUAAGGUUCAUGAAUUUGGGUAUGGUGUUGCAGGUUACUCCACACAUGAGGGCAUGGGCUGACCCUGCCUCUCAUUUUUCUACUCAAUCUGAUGGUACCACGCGAGAGGCUGCUGGAUUGUUGAUGAUCAGCAUGGAUGGGAUAUGAUGUUGCUUGCUGCUGGGCAUUUUUUCCUUCUCUGAUUGAUCAACCUCCGGCAAAUGCUUCCAUCCAUAUGAAGAUGUUGAUCACUUGUCUGCACUUUAGAUGCCAGUACAUACUCAGGCCCCGUUCGGUGUGCGGGAAUUUCGUAGGAAUUUUGGGGGCUCGGUUUCCUCUGGAAACUUUUUCUUCGAAAGUGUUCCCUUCUGCUUCAUUCCGCCGGAAAGUUCGCCCACCAUAUUUUUCACAGAAAAUAUAACAUUCAACCAAACCAAAGGAAACACCAGGGAGAAAAGCUCUUUCCGUACGCUCCAUCUCGCUCCCACAGCCAAUCAAUCAACACAAAGGUUGAUGCAUCGGGGAAUUACUUAGGUGUCUAAGCUAACUUAUUUUUGAAGAUGUUAUCACCAGAAUUUGACCGAGUCAGAGGUGGGCCGCGAUCAAGAUGGACUUGAAGGAUAUACAUGGAAGAAUUACGUGAAUCGGCCUUAUAUGCAAAGUUGGGCUAGAUUGCCCAUAUAUCUGUAAUAUAGUAGAUCGUAUCUUAGAUAGAGUUUUACUUGUGCACGGUAGGUGCACGUCUAAAUUAGAAAGUCCCCUGGACUAUAAAUAUGUAUCUAGGGUUUAUGGAAUAAACAACAACCAACGUUCAACCAACAAAUCAAUCUCGGCGCAUCGCCAACUCCUUCUCCUC
This is a non-coding RNA of Lolium perenne, 3669 nucleotides long. The record is from RefSeq and is a predicted model, not a curated record. NCBI's taxonomy places the organism in Eukaryota, Viridiplantae, Streptophyta, Magnoliopsida, Poales, Poaceae.